RNAcentral lists this ribosomal RNA (253 nucleotides) under uncultured bacterium. RNAcentral describes it as "partial 16S ribosomal RNA". It matches the Rfam family "Bacterial small subunit ribosomal RNA", at positions 524 to 776 of the family's 1533-position model. The record is from RNAcentral.
GACAGAGGGUGCAAACGUUGCUCGGAAUCACUGGGCGUAAAGGGCGUGUAGGCGGGCCAGUAAGUCGGGCGUGAAAUCCCUGGGCUCAACCCAGGAACUGCACUCGAAACUACUAUUCUUGAGUGUCGGAGAGGAAAGCGGAAUUCCUGGUGUAGAGGUGAAAUUCGUAGAUAUCAGGAGGAACACCAGUGGCGAAGGCGGCUUUCUGGACGAUAACUGACGCUGAGACGCGAAAGCGUGGGGAGCAAACAGG